RNAcentral lists this ribosomal RNA (2585 nucleotides) under Escherichia coli. Its description in RNAcentral is "partial 23S ribosomal RNA". It matches the Rfam family "Bacterial large subunit ribosomal RNA", at positions 375 to 2925 of the family's 2925-position model. The record is from RNAcentral. Lineage: Bacteria; Pseudomonadati; Pseudomonadota; Gammaproteobacteria; Enterobacterales; Enterobacteriaceae.
GUACACAAAAAUGCACAUACUGUGAGCUCGAUGAGUAGGGCGGGACACGUGGUAUCCUGUCUGAAUAUGGGGGGACCAUCCUCCAAGGCUAAAUACUCCUGACUGACCGAUAGUGAACCAGUACCGUGAGGGAAAGGCGAAAAGAACCCCGGCGAGGGGAGUGAAAAAGAACCUGAAACCGUGUACGUACAAGCAGUGGGAGCACGCUUAGGCGUGUGACUGCGUACCUUUUGUAUAAUGGGUCAGCGACUUAUAUUCUGUAGCAAGGUUAACCGAAUAGGGGAGCCGAAGGGAAACCGAGUCUUAACUGGGCGUUAAGUUGCAGGGUAUAGACCCGAAACCCGGUGAUCUAGCCAUGGGCAGGUUGAAGGUUGGGUAACACUAACUGGAGGACCGAACCGACUAAUGUUGAAAAAUUAGCGGAUGACUUGUGGCUGGGGGUGAAAGGCCAAUCAAACCGGGAGAUAGCUGGUUCUCCCCGAAAGCUAUUUAGGUAGCGCCUCGUGAAUUCAUCUCCGGGGGUAGAGCACUGUUUCGGCAAGGGGGUCAUCCCGACUUACCAACCCGAUGCAAACUGCGAAUACCGGAGAAUGUUAUCACGGGAGACACACGGCGGGUGCUAACGUCCGUCGUGAAGAGGGAAACAACCCAGACCGCCAGCUAAGGUCCCAAAGUCAUGGUUAAGUGGGAAACGAUGUGGGAAGGCCCAGACAGCCAGGAUGUUGGCUUAGAAGCAGCCAUCAUUUAAAGAAAGCGUAAUAGCUCACUGGUCGAGUCGGCCUGCGCGGAAGAUGUAACGGGGCUAAACCAUGCACCGAAGCUGCGGCAGCGACGCUUAUGCGUUGUUGGGUAGGGGAGCGUUCUGUAAGCCUGCGAAGGUGUGCUGUGAGGCAUGCUGGAGGUAUCAGAAGUGCGAAUGCUGACAUAAGUAACGAUAAAGCGGGUGAAAAGCCCGCUCGCCGGAAGACCAAGGGUUCCUGUCCAACGUUAAUCGGGGCAGGGUGAGUCGACCCCUAAGGCGAGGCCGAAAGGCGUAGUCGAUGGGAAACAGGUUAAUAUUCCUGUACUUGGUGUUACUGCGAAGGGGGGACGGAGAAGGCUAUGUUGGCCGGGCGACGGUUGUCCCGGUUUAAGCGUGUAGGCUGGUUUUCCAGGCAAAUCCGGAAAAUCAAGGCUGAGGCGUGAUGACGAGGCACUACGGUGCUGAAGCAACAAAUGCCCUGCUUCCAGGAAAAGCCUCUAAGCAUCAGGUAACAUCAAAUCGUACCCCAAACCGACACAGGUGGUCAGGUAGAGAAUACCAAGGCGCUUGAGAGAACUCGGGUGAAGGAACUAGGCAAAAUGGUGCCGUAACUUCGGGAGAAGGCACGCUGAUAUGUAGGUGAAGUCCCUCGCGGAUGGAGCUGAAAUCAGUCGAAGAUACCAGCUGGCUGCAACUGUUUAUUAAAAACACAGCACUGUGCAAACACGAAAGUGGACGUAUACGGUGUGACGCCUGCCCGGUGCCGGAAGGUUAAUUGAUGGGGUCAGCGCAAGCGAAGCUCUUGAUCGAAGCCCCGGUAAACGGCGGCCGUAACUAUAACGGUCCUAAGGUAGCGAAAUUCCUUGUCGGGUAAGUUCCGACCUGCACGAAUGGCGUAAUGAUGGCCAGGCUGUCUCCACCCGAGACUCAGUGAAAUUGAACUCGCUGUGAAGAUGCAGUGUACCCGCGGCAAGACGGAAAGACCCCGUGAACCUUUACUAUAGCUUGACACUGAACAUUGAGCCUUGAUGUGUAGGAUAGGUGGGAGGCUUGGAAGUGUGGACGCCAGUCUGCAUGGAGCCGACCUUGAAAUACCACCCUUUAAUGUUUGAUGUUCUAACGUUGACCCGUAAUCCGGGUUGCGGACAGUGUCUGGUGGGUAGUUUGACUGGGGCGGUCUCCUCCUAAAGAGUAACGGAGGAGCACGAAGGUUGGCUAAUCCUGGUCGGACAUCAGGAGGUUAGUGCAAUGGCAUAAGCCAGCUUGACUGCGAGCGUGACGGCGCGAGCAGGUGCGAAAGCAGGUCAUAGUGAUCCGGUGGUUCUGAAUGGAAGGGCCAUCGCUCAACGGAUAAAAGGUACUCCGGGGAUAACAGGCUGAUACCGCCCAAGAGUUCAUAUCGACGGCGGUGUUUGGCACCUCGAUGUCGGCUCAUCACAUCCUGGGGCUGAAGUAGGUCCCAAGGGUAUGGCUGUUCGCCAUUUAAAGUGGUACGCGAGCUGGGUUUAGAACGUCGUGAGACAGUUCGGUCCCUAUCUGCCGUGGGCGCUGGAGAACUGAGGGGGGCUGCUCCUAGUACGAGAGGACCGGAGUGGACGCAUCACUGGUGUUCGGGUUGUCAUGCCAAUGGCACUGCCCGGUAGCUAAAUGCGGAAGAGAUAAGUGCUGAAAGCAUCUAAGCACGAAACUUGCCCCGAGAUGAGUUCUCCCUGACUCCUUGAGAGUCCUGAAGGAACGUUGAAGACGACGACGUUGAUAGGCCGGGUGUGUAAGCGCAGCGAUGCGUUGAGCUAACCGGUACUAAUGAACCGUGAGGCUUAACCUUACAACGCCGAAGGUGUUU